RNAcentral lists this ribosomal RNA (1502 nucleotides) under Leuconostoc rapi. Its description in RNAcentral is "16S ribosomal RNA". It matches the Rfam family "Bacterial small subunit ribosomal RNA". Lineage: Bacteria; Bacillati; Bacillota; Bacilli; Lactobacillales; Lactobacillaceae. The record is from RNAcentral.
GAUGAACGCUGGCGGCGUGCCUAAUACAUGCAAGUCGAACGCACAGCGAAAGGUGCUUGCACCUUUCAAGUGAGUGGCGAACGGGUGAGUAACACGUGGACAACCUGCCUCAAGGCUGGGGAUAACAUUUGGAAACAGAUGCUAAUACCGAAUAAGACUUAUUGUCGCAUGACAAAGAGUUAAAAGGCGCUACGGCGUCACCUAGAGAUGGAUCCGCGGUGCAUUAGUUAGUUGGUGAGGUAAAGGCUCACCAAGACAAUGAUGCAUAGCCGAGUUGAGAGACUGAUCGGCCACAUUGGGACUGAGACACGGCCCAAACUCCUACGGGAGGCUGCAGUAGGGAAUCUUCCACAAUGGGCGAAAGCCUGAUGGAGCAACGCCGCGUGUGUGAUGAAGGCUUUCGGGUCGUAAAGCACUGUUGUAUGGGAAGAACAGCUAGAAUAGGGAAUGAUUUUAGUGUGACGGUACCAUACCAGAAAGGGACGGCUAAAUACGUGCCAGCAGCCGCGGUAAUACGUAUGUCCCGAGCGUUAUCCGGAUUUAUUGGGCGUAAAGCGAGCGCAGACGGUUGUUUAAGUCUGAUGUGAAAGCCCGGAGCUCAACUCCGGAAAGGCAUUGGAAACUGGACAACUUGAGUGCAGUAGAGGUAAGUGGAACUCCAUGUGUAGCGGUGGAAUGCGUAGAUAUAUGGAAGAACACCAGCGGCGAAGGCGGCUUACUGGACUGUAACUGACGUUGAGGCUCGAAAGUGUGGGUAGCAAACAGGAUUAGAUACCCUGGUAGUCCACACCGUAAACGAUGAACACUAGGUGUUAGGAGGUUUCCGCCUCUUAGUGCCGAAGCUAACGCAUUAAGUGUUCCGCCUGGGGAGUACGACCGCAAGGUUGAAACUCAAAGGAAUUGACGGGGACCCGCACAAGCGGUGGAGCAUGUGGUUUAAUUCGAAGCAACGCGAAGAACCUUACCAGGUCUUGACAUCCUUUGAAGCUUUUAGAGAUAGAAGUGUUCUCUUCGGAGACAAAGAGACAGGUGGUGCAUGGUCGUCGUCAGCUCGUGUCGUGAGAUGUUGGGUUAAGUCCCGCAACGAGCGCAACCCUUAUUGUUAGUUGCCAGCAUUCAGAUGGGCACUCUAGCGAGACUGCCGGUGACAAACCGGAGGAAGGCGGGGACGACGUCAGAUCAUCAUGCCCCUUAUGACCUGGGCUACACACGUGCUACAAUGGCGUAUACAACGAGUUGCCAACCUGCGAAGGUGAGCUAAUCUCUUAAAGUACGUCUCAGUUCGGACUGCAGUCUGCAACUCGACUGCACGAAGUCGGAAUCGCUAGUAAUCGCGGAUCAGCACGCCGCGGUGAAUACGUUCCCGGGUCUUGUACACACCGCCCGUCACACCAUGGGAGUUUGUAAUGCCCAAAGCCGGUGGCCUAACCGUAAGGAGGGAACCGUCUAAGGCAGGACAGAUGACUGGGGUGAAGUCGUAACAAGGUAGCCGUAGGAGAACC